Molecule: non-coding RNA, 29 nt
Filed under: Rattus norvegicus (Norway rat)
Lineage: Eukaryota; Metazoa; Chordata; Mammalia; Rodentia; Muridae
Source: RNAcentral
UAAGAAUAUCUCACUCAUUGUGAAAAGGA